UGGAGCAUGUGGUUUAAUUCGACGCAACGCGCAGAACCUUUACCUAGGCUUGACAUCCGGGAAUUUGCUGGAAACAGUGAAGUGCUUCAUUAGAAGAGCCCGGUGACAGGUGCUGCAUGGCUGUCGUCAGCUCGUGUCGUGAGAUGUUGGGUUAAGUCCCGCAACGAGCGCAACCCUCGCCUUUAGUUGCCAGCAUUCAGUUGGGCACUCUAAAGGGACUGCCGGUGUCAAACCGGAGAAGGUGGGGAUGACGUCAAGUCCUCAUGGCCUUUAUGUCUAGGGCUACACACGUACUACAAUGGCCGGUACAAAGGGCAGCGACACAGCGAUGUGAAGCCAAUCCCGAAAAGCCGGUCUCAGUCCGGAUUGGAGUCUGCAACUCGACUCCAUGAAGUUGGAAUCGCUAGUAAUCGCGGAUCAGCACGCCGCGGUGAAUACGUUCCCGGGCCUU
This 451-nucleotide ribosomal RNA is filed under the name uncultured Desulfocapsa sp. RNAcentral describes it as "bacterial SSU rRNA". It matches the Rfam family "Bacterial small subunit ribosomal RNA", at positions 933 to 1382 of the family's 1533-position model. The record is from RNAcentral. Lineage: Bacteria; Pseudomonadati; Thermodesulfobacteriota; Desulfobulbia; Desulfobulbales; Desulfocapsaceae.